UGGCCUUUUGGAGAUUUAUAUAAAAGGUUGGGCCUGCCCGGUGAUCUGAAAUGGUUUAACGGCUGCGAUUGAAACCGUACUAAGGUAGCAUAAUAAUUUGCCCUUUAAUUGGGGGAGAGAAUGAAUGGUUUGACGGUAAAAAAGCUGUUUUAAAAAUAAAAAAGGAAGUUAACUUUUAAGUGAAAAGGCUUAAGUUUUUAUAAAAGACGAGAAGACCCCGUCGAGCUUAAUUAGAGUAACUUAAAUGUAGGUUAUUUAAAAUUUUAUUGGGGCAAUAGAAAAUGAAAUGAAUCAUUUUUUUUAUUAUAAGGAUCCAGUUUUGACUGAAAAAAGCAAAAGCUACCGCGGGGAUAACAGGGUAAUUUUUUCUGAGAGUUCAUAUUUAAGAAGAAGUUUGCUACCUCGAUGUUGGAUUAGAAUUUCUUUAUGCUUGCAGCAGGUAUAAUAGUAGGACUGUUCGUCCUUUAAAAUUUUA
RNAcentral lists this ribosomal RNA (475 nucleotides) under Corbicula fluminalis. RNAcentral describes it as "partial 16S ribosomal RNA". It matches the Rfam family "Bacterial large subunit ribosomal RNA", at positions 1816 to 2598 of the family's 2925-position model. The record is from RNAcentral. Lineage: Eukaryota; Metazoa; Mollusca; Bivalvia; Venerida; Cyrenidae. RNAcentral also lists the same sequence under 1 other name.